CCUACGGGGGGCAGCAGUGAGGAAUAUUGGUCAAUGGGCGGGAGCCUGAACCAGCCAAGUCGCGUGAGGGAAGACGGUCCUAUGGAUUGUAAACCUCUUUAGGCGGGGAGCAAUGCCGGGCACGCGUGCCCGGAGGGAGAGUACCCGCAGAAUAAGCAUCGGCUAACUCCGUGCCAGCAGGCGCGGUAAUACGGAGGAUGCGAGCGUUAUCCGGAUUUAUGGGGUUUAAAGGGUGAGUAGGCGGAUUUUUAAGUCAGCGGUAAAAUGUCCGGGCUCAACCCGGGUCGGCCGUUGAAACUGGGGAUCUUGAGUGAGCGAGAGGUAUGCGGAAUGCGUGGUGUAGCAGUGAAAUGCAUAGAUAUCGCGCAGAACUCCGAUUGCGAAGGCAGCAUACCGGCGCCCGACUGACGCUGAGGCACGAAAGCGUGGGGAUCGAACAGGAUUAGAUACCCUUGUAGUC
This 460-nucleotide ribosomal RNA is filed under the name uncultured bacterium. Its description in RNAcentral is "partial 16S ribosomal RNA". It matches the Rfam family "Bacterial small subunit ribosomal RNA", at positions 338 to 795 of the family's 1533-position model. The record is from RNAcentral.